UAGACCAUACAAACACAGGGUGAGCAUGCUACUUCAAUAAAGAUAUGUUUGUUCAAUAGACCAUACAAGCACAGGGUGAGCAUGCUACUUCAAUAAAGAUAUGUUUGUCCAAUAGACCAUACAACAUGCUACUUCAACAUGUUCAAUAAAGAUAUGGUUGUUCCAAAUACAGACUUGUACAGCAUUAGUUCUCUUACCUUAGGAGAUAGACUUUAGUUUCUUUGUAGAAUGUCAAUAAAUAUUUAGAAUAAAACAAAAUGUAUAUAGUUUUUUUUUAUGAUUAUAAAUAAACCCAUGAAAAACAAUUUUUAGCAAUGAUUUAUAAUGCUUUACAUAAAAGAGACCUACAAAGAAAAAAAUCUACAAUUGGAUAUUAAAAACAAGACUUAUUAUACAUGUAACAACCUAUACAAAUAUAUUAGAAAGUCACAUUAAUGAUUCUUCACUCAUAUGAAUGUUUAUUUCUUGUAUAGUCUUUUUAUUUUGCAUCUUCUUUUAUUCAUUCUGUCAUAUAUUUGAUAUUUGAUUUUAGAUUAAAUAAAAAAAUUAGAAGAUGUGUUAAGAUUGCCAAUGAGACAACUUUCCACCCAAGUUCAAAUGAAGUAGACGUAUAAGCAAUUAUAACCAACCAGACAACCUUCAACAUUGAAUAAAACCCAUACCCUAUAAAAGCCCCAACAUAGAAAAUAUGGAACAUAAUAAAUUGAGAAAACUAACACUAUAUAGUUUUCAUUACCAUUAUGGGAUGUCUGAAUUGUACAAAUCAUUUGUUUACUGUAACAUAAUCAUUUAUUUAAAUUUAUUUCAUAUAUAUUCUCUUUAUGUAGAUUUUCUUGUAAGAAUAUUAUAAUUCUUCAGUUUCAGCUCGAAGAGGUGGACAUAAAGAAAAAGGAAAACAAAGAUUGGUUCAAUAAAUACAGAUAUGACAUUCCUGUGUUUCAUUUUAAUGGGAAAUUUUUAAUGAAACAUAGAGUAGACUUACAAGUGUUUGAGAAAGCACUUAAAGAAUAUAAAGAUUCUAAUACCUGAAAUAAUAUCGUUUAUAGUAUACAAACUUUUGGUUCUCCACUUGCUUGUAAAGUUUUUUUUUCAACCUUUAAAAUAAAAAUGACGGAAAACUAUAAGACUGUUAAAGGAUUUUUGAUGAUUAAAACUUCAAAGAACUUACAAAUUUUAGGUAAGGGUACAAGUAUCCUCUUAAAUAUUGUAUGUUUACCACUAAAUGUCUUUUUUUGGGAAAGAUAGCAUUAAAUGCAAUAGACAACUUUCGAGUUCGAUGCAUUUCCGUCAAAAACUCUGGUUUUAGUGAACGUCAUUUGUGCGU
Molecule: long non-coding RNA, 1324 nt
Filed under: Mytilus galloprovincialis (Mediterranean mussel)
Lineage: Eukaryota; Metazoa; Mollusca; Bivalvia; Mytilida; Mytilidae
Source: RNAcentral